UGUAUAAUGGGUCAGCGACUUAUAUUCUGUAGCAAGGUUAACCGAAUAGGGGAGCCGAAGGGAAACCGAGUCUUAACUGGGCGUUAAGUUGCAGGGUAUAGACCCGAAACCCGGUGAUCUAGCCAUGGGCAGGUUGAAGGUUGGGUAACACUAACUGGAGGACCGAACCGACUAAUGUUGAAAAAUUAGCGGAUGACUUGUGGCUGGGGGUGAAAGGCCAAUCAAACCGGGAGAUAGCUGGUUCUCCCCGAAAGCUAUUUAGGUAGCGCCUCGUGAAUUCAUCUCCGGGGGUAGAGCACUGUUUCGGCAAGGGGGUCAUCCCGACUUACCAACCCGAUGCAAACUGCGAAUACCGGAGAAUGUUAUCACGGGAGACACACGGCGGGUGCUAACGUCCGUCGUGAAGAGGGAAACAACCCAGACCGCCAGCUAAGGUCCCAAAGUCAUGGUUAAGUGGGAAACGAUGUGGGAAGGCCCAGACAGCCAGGAUGUUGGCUUAGAAGCAGCCAUCAUUUAAAGAAAGCGUAAUAGCUCACUGGUCGAGUCGGCCUGCGCGGAAGAUGUAACGGGGCUAAACCAUGCACCGAAGCUGCGGCAGCGACGCUUAUGCGUUGUUGGGUAGGGGAGCGUUCUGUAAGCCUGCGAAGGUGUACUGUGAGGUAUGCUGGAGGUAUCAGAAGUGCGAAUGCUGACAUAAGUAACGAUAAAGCGGGUGAAAAGCCCGCUCGCCGGAAGACCAAGGGUUCCUGUCCAACGUUAAUCGGGGCAGGGUGAGUCGACCCCUAAGGCGAGGCCGAAAGGCGUAGUCGAUGGGAAACAGGUUAAUAUUCCUGUACUUGGUGUUACUGCGAAGGGGGGACGGAGAAGGCUAUGUUGGCCGGGCGACGGUUGUCCCGGUUUAAGCGUGUAGGCUGAUUUUCCAGGUAAAUCCGGAAAAUCAAGGCUGAGGCGUGAUGACGAGGCACUACGGUGCUGAAGCAACAAAUGCCCUGCUUCCAGGAAAAGCCUCUAAGCAUCAGGUAACAUCAAAUCGUACCCCAAACCGACACAGGUGGUCAGGUAGAGAAUACCAAGGCGCUUGAGAGAACUCGGGUGAAGGAACUAGGCAAAAUGGUGCCGUAACUUCGGGAGAAGGCACGCUGAUACGUAGGUGAAGUCCCUUGCGGAUGGAGCUGAAAUCAGUCGAAGAUACCAGCUGGCUGCAACUGUUUAUUAAAAACACAGCACUGUGCAAACACGAAAGUGGACGUAUACGGUGUGACGCCUGCCCGGUGCCGGAAGGUUAAUUGAUGGGGUUAGCGGUAACGCGAAGCUCUUGAUCGAAGCCCCGGUAAACGGCGGCCGUAACUAUAACGGUCCUAAGGUAGCGAAAUUCCUUGUCGGGUAAGUUCCGACCUGCACGAAUGGCGUAAUGAUGGCCAGGCUGUCUCCACCCGAGACUCAGUGAAAUUGAACUCGCUGUGAAGAUGCAGUGUACCCGCGGCAAGACGGAAAGACCCCGUGAACCUUUACUAUAGCUUGACACUGAACAUUGAGCCUUGAUGUGUAGGAUAGGUGGGAGGCUUUGAAGUGUGGACGCCAGUCUGCAUGGAGCCGACCUUGAAAUACCACCCUUUAAUGUUUGAUGUUCUAACGUUGGCCCCUAAUCGGGGUUGCGGACAGUGUCUGGUGGGUAGUUUGACUGGGGCGGUCUCCUCCUAAAGAGUAACGGAGGAGCACGAAGGUUGGCUAAUCCUGGUCGGACAUCAGGAGGUUAGUGCAAUGGCAUAAGCCAGCUUGACUGCGAGCGUGACGGCGCGAGCAGGUGCGAAAGCAGGUCAUAGUGAUCCGGUGGUUCUGAAUGGAAGGGCCAUCGCUCAACGGAUAAAAGGUACUCCGGGGAUAACAGGCUGAUACCGCCCAAGAGUUCAUAUCGACGGCGGUGUUUGGCACCUCGAUGUCGGCUCAUCACAUCCUGGGGCUGAAGUAGGUCCCAAGGGUAUGGCUGUUCGCCAUUUAAAGUGGUACGCGAGCUGGGUUUAGAACGUCGUGAGACAGUUCGGUCCCUAUCUGCCGUGGGCGCUGGAGAACUGAGGGGGGCUGCUCCUAGUACGAGAGGACCGGAGUGGACGCAUCACUGGUGUUCGGGUUGUCAUGCCAAUGGCACUGCCCGGUAGCUAAAUGCGGAAGAGAUAAGUGCUGAAAGCAUCUAAGCACGAAACUUGCCCCGAGAUGAGUUCUCCCUGACUCCUUGAGAGUCCUGAAGGAACGUUGAAGACGACGACGUUGAUAGGCCGGGUGUGUAAGCGCAGCGAUGCGUUGAGCUAACCGGUACUAAUGAACCGUGAGGCUUAACCUU
This 2338-nucleotide ribosomal RNA is filed under the name Escherichia coli. Its description in RNAcentral is "partial 23S ribosomal RNA". It matches the Rfam family "Bacterial large subunit ribosomal RNA", at positions 609 to 2925 of the family's 2925-position model. The record is from RNAcentral. Lineage: Bacteria; Pseudomonadati; Pseudomonadota; Gammaproteobacteria; Enterobacterales; Enterobacteriaceae.